UUGCCUUCAAGUAUCAAUUGACUCCUCUCAGUCAUAGCUGUACAAAUCACAGCACUUUUUUCUUAAUUGGCAUAAGAUGUAUACAUUAUUCAUCUACUCAGCUUCAUCUGAAGGGAAUCCAAUAAAGAAGCACUUUUAUUUUCCAAUGAAAAUUUAAAGCUGCUUUUUCUCCACAACAGACUGGGUAGAAAACUCCAUCCGUGAUCUAUCCCUUCAGGUCUUAUAAGCAGCACCCUGAGGCCCACAGAAUUUAAGUGACUUGCCCAAGACCACAUGGUUAGAGGAGAGGAAGAACAAGAACCUGCGCCUCCUUCCUACUGCCUCGCUGUGGCCGCUCUUCCAGACACUGUGUUGCUCUGGGUUCCAUGCUCCAUCACAGAGCAACCGGCUGGACUGGUUCAUUCAUUCAACAAAAAAAAGCAUCAGCAACCAAUGGCUAAUAAUUCUUCACCCUCCUGAUCAGUGUCAACAGUUGGCAGCAGCUUCUGAAGUUCCUAAAGACACAUGAGGAAGCCCUACCACUGGAUAACUGGCUGGUAGCAUUCUUUCUGUGUGGGAUGAUUCCCUGACCUGCAUCUUCCAAAGUUCAGGAGCACUGACACUCUAAUAGAAGAACCUUGGGAGGUAAUAUCAAAGAAUCAAGACUUUCUGCUAUGCUUGGUUGAAGCCCAAACUUUAUUGUGAUUUUAAUCUAUUGCAUGUCCAAUGAAGAAUUUAACUGUGAUAAUACUGAAAAGAAAUAUUAGAUGAGAAACAAGAGAAGCCAAAACCCACAAAUCUCAUGAGGACACUCCUAACAUGAUUCUGUCAAUAGACUGACUGGUGUUUAGCCAGGGCCUUUUCCAGAGCCCUCAGUCUUUCAGUUACAGCUUGCAAACCAUUGGAAAUAAAAUGCACCAUUUUAAAUCAUUAAGAGGGUGUAGGAAAAAAAGCAGUAAUGGCUUUGCAAAAAAAUAUGACCUAUAGCUAUAAGGAUCUAAUAUUCUGGUGUCUUUCUCCUUGAUUGUAGACUUAAAUAAGAUUCAGCAGGACCUUAACCCUAAAUUAAGUGAUUGAAUAAAACCUCCCAUAGAAAACUGUCUUGGGCUGUCAACAAAAUGCUUGGGGAUUGUUUUAAGUAAUAAUGAGUAAUAACCAUGGGGUUCAAUGAUAAAAUACUCAACAAUCUCUUCACCCUAUUGAGCUAUUUAAGCAGACUAAGAUUGAACAGAAGGAACAACAUAACUUUCUAGCUGAACCAUAUGAAGCAAAAUACAAAAGCCUCUUUUCAUGGCUACCACAUUCAAAGUGUGGUUUGUUUACUGAACUAAGUCCUCCAUGGAGAGGUGGUGAGGCUGAAAUCUAACCUGUACCCCACUCGUCAAGCCUGGUUCUAGGAUGGGGCUGUGGGAACCAGGAGGGAGGUGGGCCUUCUAAGCAAAGUCCACGUGAGCCUGAAGGGCUGCAAGAGCACCAGGCUGACUGUCACCAAACUUGUAUACUCUAGUGGGUUAGACCUGGCUAGCUCAGGGGUGACUUUCUAAAUCACUCAAAGAAAAUCACAAUGUUCUCAGUCCCUCUAAAGAAAGCCCUUCACACUGUUAAACUACAAAUGCUUGACAAUCUACACACAGAUUAUAGUCCAUCUCAUGCUGAUCAGUAGCACCAAGGGUCUCCAUCUCCCAUCAUGAAUAAUGAAGAAAUUGUUAUAGAGCAAGGUCCAGUCCCAGUUUGGAUUCAGUGGCAUUCGCACAUCCCCAUACUUUCUUCACUUUCUUCUCUUCCAGCCUUACCCCAGUUGGACUAAAACACCUACAAAACAUUCCCCAAGAGUGGAUUAAUCCCAAAGAUGUUUUUUCUUUCACUGGGUACAUAUUGCUUAAGCUGCCACUCAUUGUUCGCAAGUUUCUGAUAUGGAAAAGACAAAAUUGGAGAUUUUUUGCUUAUUUAAGCUAAGACUUAUAUGGUGCUAAAUGCAUGCCAGGAAUGGAUCUAAGUGCUUUCUUUUCAAGAAUGGAUUCAUUAAACCCUCGGGAGUUAUUAUCCAUCCUUUACAGUGGUGACACUAAAGCACACAGCUAGUCAAACACAGAGGCAGGCAUCAAGCUGGGCAGUCCACAGCUAGCAUUCCGCACACCUAGACUGCCUUGCUAUAGGGGCUCUUCCAUUUGCAACAUAACAGGUACCACUGAAGAACAUUUUCUAAUAUUCCCACCCAGCAUCCCUGAAGCUAGAUAUAAAAUCAAAAUCUUUCUCCUAUUUUAAUAUUAUAUCAAAGAGCUUACUAAGAUACAAUAUUCUCAACUAAGUAAAAAAUAGCUAAGAUGUUUUCCAUUAUGUUCAUCAGACAAUGUAAUUUCAGCAGACAACUCUGAUAUACUUGGAAGCAAAUGAAAUGUUUGCCCUCAAUUGCUCAUCUUUAGGGGCCAAAUGAUGCAAACAGCCCAUAUUCUUAAUAAUACAAAUGAUCAGAAAAGGCAUUUAUCAUCUUUUCUCUUCAACUCCUUUUUGUAUAUUUGGAUUACAAAGCUUAUGGUGUAGAAAAAAAUUGAAUCUUGGUUUACAAAAGAGCAAGGGAGGUCCUUACCCAGGACUUACCUAUGAAGUUUAGGAAUCACAAUGAGUAGUGUUAUAGCUUGAAUGCUCAGAGGAAGGAAAUUAGACUACUACCUGUUAGAAACAUUUUUCUAAAUGAAAUUUCCAGGACAAAGGAAAACUUAAUGAUCACUAAAACAGUACUACAAAUUAAAACCUAAUUAUCAUCAAAGAUAUAUGUGUAGAAUAUUUAUAUAUAUGUAUGUAUAUAUUUAUAUACAUGUUUUAAAUGGUUAUAAUCAUUACCAUCUAACUUGAAGUAUAUAUACAAAUUAUAUAUACUGCAAAUUAUAGUCAACUUAGAAUCAACUUUAUGAAGUAACUAGGGAUGACUAGCUAAUUAACUAACUUCUGACUUCCCCAAAAUUCUGAAAGUGGAUUUUGGCCUAAUGGGUUAAAAAUGUUAAGUACUAGUUACUUGCUGAUAGCACAUCUGGAAUCACUUUAUCCUGGAACUGUUGUAUAAUGAGGUGCUAACAUAGCCAACUACAGCUCGCCCCCCACUGAAUGUGUGUGUGUGUGUCCUGGACUUCACCCCCUUUCAGUAGCAAUUUUAAAUACCAGAACAGCUUGUCCAGGGAUCAUGUUGGCAGGAAUGUGCUUGUCUUGGAAACUUAGGGACCAAAAUAUGCUCAUCCUUAAGAAAAGCAGAUCCUACAGAUAACAGGAACUGGCCAAUCAGUUUUCUCGCAGGUCACAGGACUGCUCAUUCUCAUAUUCUUAACCUCUUUCCAAUAUCAAGUUCAUCCUCUCUUCUGCACUGCCUGUGAAGCAAAAGGCAACAAGCAAGAAGUUGUAACAAAUCCUAACAAAACAGAAACAGACCAAGAAUUUUUGGGGAAAGGCAAUCUAGGAAGCAGAGAGGUAAUUUUUCACCAUGGCAUUAAGGAAGUAUAUGAAUUUAUCACAAACCAUAUGGGUUUUGACUCACAAGUUUUAGGGUGAAAAUAGAUAUCUCUAAUGGUUGAGUAAUUUGAUUUACUAAUUUUAAUAACAUGACAGGAGUGGGAAUGAGGAGAUGAGAGACUGGGCUUCUCUACCACCACUCCUGCCACUAACCAGCAAUUCAACCAACAGUGAAUCAUCUGCCUGCCUAGCCUCAGAUAUGGCCAUCCCUAAUGAAAUAUAGUCAGAUAAUCUCCAAAAACACUUCCAACCUUGAAUUCUUAACUCAAAAUUGUCACAGUUUUGCAAAUUUCUACACUGACUAUAUCUCUUUCGGUGUGACAGUGGUCAAGAAGAAGAGAGGAAAUGAGAGACUAGAGGGUAUAUGAGAUGGGAACUCAGGCCUGUCUUCAGUGAGUAUCCCAUGUGGCCUAUUUGAGUAAAUUUUUUUAACUGAUCUCAAAUGAAUGUAUAUGUGGCAGAGGGUGUGGGGCGGGGGGUGUAAUUAGGUAGACAGAUAAUGAGAGAGAACCCAAACAACCUUCUACAGUUUAAAAUAAGCAUGAAAAUCCAGAUGCCAUUCUAUCUUCUUUAGUUUCCUCUUCUUCGUCAGAUAGACCACAUGGGGCACUCCCCGAAGACACAUCUGAAUUUCCAUUACUUAUACCUUGUAGUCCUCUCCUCUUAACCACUGUCAUGGCCAAAGAAGUACAGGACAGUACAGAGAUUUGUAAAACUUCAAAAUGAUGCCAUUCUUGAAUCUUCAUUCUUUGAUGACAUUCUCAGUUUUAAGAAAUAUAAUCGUGUGUGUGUGUGUGUGUGUGUGUGUGUGUGUGUAUCUUUGUUUUCAGGGGAUCAAACUGGGGUCAUGUGCAUGUUAGGCAAGCGGUCUACCACUGAGCUAUAUCCCCAGCACUAUUUUCAUUUUAAAGUAUUAUUCAUGUGAACAUAUUAUCAGUUUAUUACUCUUUUAAAUAAAUCAAUGAUUUUUUAAAAUUUCUCAUUCUUAAUUUCUAACAUAGUAAAUAUCAGUAGACACAAAACUUUUUGUGCUCAAUAAUUUUUUUAAGAGUACAUGAAAGCCGGUCAUGGUGGCAAAUGCCUAUAAUCCCAGUGACUCUGCAGGUUGAAGCAGAAGGAUCAAAAGA
Long non-coding RNA from Ictidomys tridecemlineatus (thirteen-lined ground squirrel), 4607 nucleotides. RefSeq lists it as uncharacterized. Lineage: Eukaryota; Metazoa; Chordata; Mammalia; Rodentia; Sciuridae. The record is from RefSeq and is a predicted model, not a curated record.